CAUCCCAAUGAAGAGUUAUAUAAAAAUUAAAAGUAGUGGACUGAAUUUCUAUUGAUGAGCAAUGGAUUCUGAGGGGUG
This is a small nucleolar RNA of Quercus robur (English oak), 78 nucleotides long. RefSeq annotates it as small nucleolar RNA R21. NCBI's taxonomy places the organism in Eukaryota, Viridiplantae, Streptophyta, Magnoliopsida, Fagales, Fagaceae. The transcript has a single exon. The record is from RefSeq and is a predicted model, not a curated record.